RNAcentral lists this ribosomal RNA (253 nucleotides) under uncultured bacterium. RNAcentral describes it as "partial 16S ribosomal RNA". It matches the Rfam family "Bacterial small subunit ribosomal RNA", at positions 524 to 776 of the family's 1533-position model. The record is from RNAcentral.
UACGUAGGGUGCGAGCGUUAAUCGGAAUUACUGGGCGUAAAGCGUGCGCAGGCGGUGAGCUGUGUCCGAUGUGAAAGCCCCGGGCUUAACCUGGGAAUGGCAUUGGAAACUGGCUCGCUGGAGUGUGGCAGAGGGGGGUGGAAUUCCGCGUGUAGCAGUGAAAUGCGUAGAGAUGCGGAGGAACACCAAUGGCGAAGGCAGCCCCCUGGGUUAACACUGACGCUCAUGCACGAAAGCGUGGGGAGCAAACAGG